GAGCGCAGCCCCGCCCGCCGCAGCUCCCGCCGCUGAGUUUGCUCCGGUCCCUCAAUUGUUUCGCUCUCACAAGAACUUUGUUUACAGUCCCUGGUGCAGCGGGCGGCAUCCCCCUCUUGUGCUUGCUCCGGGCUGGUGUUCGCCGCAGUCCCGCCCGGCACUCGGGAGGAAACUUCCAUGCUAGAAUAUUGUAACCUCCAAUUCAUCAUUCGGCAGCAUCUGACACUUCAAAGCCUGGAGCAGUGCUUACUGCUGCGUGACUCUCCCUUGAAUUGACAUACGAGACAUCUCAAGCCGUCUUCCUCUGCUUACUGAGUCAAGGGAUUUGUUCCGAUGGAUUUCUCCUGGACCUGUGCAAUGUGUGGUCAGCAGUGCCUGCUCUAGCCGAAGAACUGACAGAGACAACACAAUCAAGAUGACAAACGAACCUAUUAAAGAGAUUCUGGGUGCUCCAAAGCAUCCUGGUACUGUAACCAUGGAGAAGUGUAAUAACAAUGACUGUGUGAUAACCACCAUCCCUCUUGUCAGUGAGUGCCAGCUGACCGCAGCGACAGGGGGAGCAGAACUCUCCUGUUACCGCUGUACCAUUCCCUUCGGGGUGGUUAUCCUCAUAGCUGGCAUCGUGGUUACUGCUGUGGCAUACAGCUUCAAUUCCCAUGGAUCGAUCAUCUCAGUGUUUGGAUUAGUCCUUUUGUCAUCAGGACUCCUUUUGCUGGCUUCUAGUGCAGUGUGCUGGAAAAUCAGGCAGCAAAACAAGAAAGCAAAGAGGCGGGAGAGCCAGACAGCGCUUGUGGCAAAUCAGAGAACCUUGUUUGGUUAAAGACAACCAGGGGAAGGCUGGACAGUAGGCGGAACCUUUGUAAGUCAACUUGACUAUUUAUCAAUAGGAGAGAUUGCAGGUUUUAAUUUAACUUUGGAAAUGAACUGAAGUGGAAAUGGAACGGUUUAAGAAAUACUCUUUGAAACUCUGCAAGUGCUCUUAAUAUUUUUCUUACUGCAGACUUGGUAGCAAUUCUUUCCAAGACGGAGGAAAACCCACUUUUCCUGUACAGAAAGCGGUGUCAUCCUGACUGCCAUCAUCACAACUGCAUUCUCCAACAUGCUGAUCGUGUUGGAAAGGGACUUGUGAGAACUAAGAGAAUAAUUUGAACUGACUUGAAAUGCCAGAGAUCUCCUUAAAAUACACACUGUGACAUUGGACCAAGGGAGAAGUCGUAGCAUUUGAGUGGAAUUUUGCAGGCUGCUGAGGAGAGAAUUGCAGGGGGGAUGCAGUGAUUUCCACUACACACGUGGAGCAGCUCAGCCCCAUCAUUCCCAGUCUGUUGUCCUCUGCAGAAGUCUUUGCCAUACGCGGGUCGUCCCUUCGCCACUGCUGUGAUAGAGGCGAGCUUGCGUGCGGCGUGAGGAAGGGAAGCAGAGGUGCAAGGUGAGGCUCUGCUCCACGUCAAAAGAAAAGGCCAAACUCAGUGGAACAGAGGCAGUGGGUUUUCUGGAGCAUUUUCUUUUUCCCAAGAAAAGUACGUAAGAGCCAGAGUUGCUCAGCUACUACUAGAGGAGGUUUCCUUUCCCUCAUCUCUACUCUCUUUUAUAUUUACCUUGCAUAUACAAGGACACGACAGAGUGCCUGCACCACCCUCUGCCUUGCCAUGUGUGGGCAUCUCGGCAUUAAGCAGCAUGUAAGCAGUGACAGCCAGCAUUGUGCUGACCCUAGCCGUGAUGCCCUAGCAAGCAAAGCUUCAGCUACUGCAUGUUGUCCCAGGAUACCAGCUAGCAGACAGGUUGAGAGGCCUCUAGCUAAUACAGGGCUGCCAUAGCACACACUGCUGAGCUCAGCAUCAUCAGCUCUAUCCCAGUGGGACAAUGUACAUGCACAAGCAUCUCCGUAUCAAUCAAUGAGUGAAAGUCUGCACAGGAAUUCAGUCUUGUUUGUCCUUUAUUCAGAGAAGAAAACCAGUAACUUUAUGGAGAAAAAUCCCAGCACCUGGUCUUGGUGUCCUGCAGGAGCAAGGCAGAGGCUGUGAACAGUUUAGUCAGAGACCUUUAUGCUGUUGAAGAUGUUUUUACAUGUUUCAUCACUGAAUUGCCACAAGGCCUUAGAAACUGGCACAGACUUCACCACUCUGAUUUGUGUGCAUUGAUUUUGGGACAAUCUGAAGUAGCAGUAGCAUCUUUUCUGAAUGACCAAUGACAACAUCCAACACAAGUCUUACAGUCUAUGUUUUUUCUUCCUGCAAAUCUACAUAUUACAGACUUUUUCAUUACUAUCUCUCUCCCUGCACCCCUGGUGCUGAUUCCAAUAUAGGAGCAAUACCUUCUUUUUAGCCCUUAAACCCCCAGUCAUUCUGAGGGAGGUGUUACAUGAGUGCAGUGUGGCAGGCUUGGCACCUUCAUUUUUCCAGAAACUGGUGAUAUUGUUAGAUCUGAAAUGUUUUUUACAAGGGCACAUCUGCAAUGCUUUUUACAAGGGUCAACCCCCUCAAACUGGUCAGCUACAAACAGCAAAAUUUCUGCUUCAGCUUCUGAACCCCGUGACCUAAUCUGGAUAGAUUUGGGGUUUCAUGCCUGGAUGCUGGGCCAGGCAACCCACCAAGUCUUUGCUACAAAGCCAUUUGGAACUCCACAACCACUGUUUGGUGUUUCUCAUGGGAACCUGAGAGGCAGAAGUCAGCGUGGAGGAUGCAACCCUGUGGAGAUCACAAUGACUUUCCAGCUCAGAAACACCUUCCCUUCUGAUGUGAAAACGCUUUGAAUGCGACAAAUGGUAUUUCAGUUCUGGGAGAGGUUGGGUGGGAGCUGAUGCAAAUUUUAUUGUCGCAAUUGCUUGUCUCUCCCUUCCUGAAAGCUCUGGCAGCAUUGCACAAGCAAAAUUGCCCUCACAAGGAUAGAAAAUUAUCUAAUAGGGGAAUUGUGCUGGUGCACCGGGCAAACGUUAUGGUGAUCUUAAAUAAUAAUUUCAAACCCUAAGCACAGGAAAUUGUGUCUGUAACUACACCCUGUAUUGCUAUUGUACACAAAGCCAGUUAUAGCCCGGGACAGUAUUUAAAAUAAUAAUCAGUUUAGGAUGACAAUGCUCAGUAUUUGUUCAAGUCAAAACGCCCAAUUUACGAUUCCCCAGUCACUAACGUGUCGUGGUUUGUACGUGACAGUGGCUCUAAUACCAGAAUUUGCCAAAAAAAUAAAAAGAGAGAGAAGGAAAGGGUAGAUUCAUAGACUUGUGUCAAGAAUUAUGUUUCUCUGCCUUGGACACUCGGGAGAGCUCCUGUUACCAAACAGCGAAUGUACAACACUACUGCAGCUCGACAGAACAGGAACCGCGCUCAGAGUACGGAAUGAAGAAAGGCUUGAGAGUCUCAUCAGGAUCCGGAAGGGUCAGGCCAGGAACAAGCCCUCUGGAAUAUCCCGUAUUCUUGCCUCAGCUUUGCUUAUCCGGAGCCAAAGUCCAGGGCUAAUGCUCCUUUAAUAUCUGAUGUGGAGCUUGUUGCAUACUAUUAGCAGGUUUCACCUGAUCUGUUUUUACAAUGGGCUCUGAAAUAAUAAGAACAGAACAAUAUUGGCAGCCAUCAUUUUGCAUAUGUAUUUCCAAUACCUCGGAUGCCUUUAAACUAUAGGAUGUUUUAGCUAUAUCAGUAUAAAUCUUUGUCAAUUACAAAGGGCUUUGAUAUGUAAAAGUACAUUAACAUACCAAGAAUUGCACUGUAUGAUGUGAAACAUUAUAUAAAUCCUGGAAAAGUUCUAUGUGUAGACUAAAUCUUACAGACUAAAAUGUAUGGGAGAACAAUGGUCUUUUUUAAAAUGCAGAAUCAACUUGAAUUUUUGGCUUUUAUUCAGGUUGUUGAUGUCACUAUUAACAUAACAGAGGAGCUAAUCCUUCCUCUUGUGAGCAGGCAGUUGGAGUCCUAUUGUCCUAACUCCUGCAUCCAGAAAUUUGCAUUUGUGGCAAACAUGGUAUUUUUGCAAAACA
This is an RNA transcript of Strigops habroptila (Kakapo), 3961 nucleotides long. It is a transcript of the gene named transmembrane protein 100, with no coding region annotated. The record is from RefSeq and is a predicted model, not a curated record. NCBI's taxonomy places the organism in Eukaryota, Metazoa, Chordata, Aves, Psittaciformes, Psittacidae. The transcript has 4 exons.